This 774-nucleotide ribosomal RNA is filed under the name uncultured Neocallimastigales. Its description in RNAcentral is "partial large subunit ribosomal RNA". It matches the Rfam family "Eukaryotic large subunit ribosomal RNA", at positions 23 to 646 of the family's 3401-position model. The record is from RNAcentral. Lineage: Eukaryota; Fungi; Neocallimastigomycota; Neocallimastigomycetes; Neocallimastigales.
AGAGAGAGACAUGCGCGCAUAUCAAUAAGCGGAGGAAAAGAAACUAACAAGGAUUCCCCUAGUAACGGCGAGUGAAGCGGGAAGAGCUCAAAUUUGAAAUCUUAAAGGGUUUCCCUUUACGAAUUGCAGUUUAAAGAAGUGUUUUCUGUUGAGGUUUUGGUAAAAGUUCUUUGGAAUAGGACAUCAUAGAGGGUGAGAAUCCCGUAUUUGACCUUUACUUUCAACUUUGUGAUACACUUUCAAAGAGUCGGAUUGUUUGGGAAUGCAGUCCAAAAUGGGUGGUAAAUUUCAUCUAAAGCUAAAUAUUGGCGAGGAGACCGAUAGCGAACAAGUACCGUGAGGGAAAGAUGAAAAGAACUUUGAAAAGAGAGUUAAACAGUACGUGAAAUUGUCAAAAGGGAAGCGUUUGACACCAGUGUUGUUUUUCUGAAAAUCAAUUAAAGAACUGUUUAUGCUAAGUUGUUUAGACUUUAUCAGCUAACUGUUUAGUUUUGAGCUUUUCUUUAAUGCACUUUUCAGUUAACAAGUCAACAUCAAUUUCUUUUGCUGUAAAAAGCUUGAGGAAGGUGGCUUGAGAUUCGUCUUAAGUGUUUAUAGCCUCUUGCCUAUGCAGUCGGAGAGAUUGAGGUCUGCAGCGUAGAUCCUUCGGGGCUAAAUGCAUUUGUGCUAAGUUAUAGCAUUUUAUAGACAACUUGUUGACUAUGAUUUGUCUUGUAGCUUACUCGCUUAUGUUAUUUUACCUACGCUUAGGAUGUUGACGCAUGAGAUAUACGC